CUCGAAUCCCCCCGCAGCCUGGGUGAGCUUUAGCAGAGGGUAUCUGGCUCCCACCUGUAGAUGUUCUGAUGGAAGGUGUUGUACGAGGCGAAGACUGCAGAAAAUCCUGCUCACCUUGGAAGACAGCAAGUGGUCAAACUGGGGCGUGAGGUAAAAGCGGAUCCCCUUCCAGGCCCCCUCCAGCGUCACGCCGCGAACGAGCAGCAUCACCAGGAUGAGGUAAUUUCUAGAGCUGAUCAUCGCAUCCAGAGCCUCUGCAGACUGGAAGAUCUUACACACAGCUGGCACCUACUGCAAUGACCAACCCCGAAGUCCAGCCUGCUCCACCUUCCCCCAGGAUUUAACCUCUGCUGCUAAUGGGAGCUUGGAGGAUUUGGGAUUUGGGGCCGACACU
Non-coding RNA from Anas platyrhynchos (mallard), 394 nucleotides. Lineage: Eukaryota; Metazoa; Chordata; Aves; Anseriformes; Anatidae. The record is from RefSeq and is a predicted model, not a curated record.